Molecule: ribosomal RNA, 525 nt
Filed under: Megophrys sp. 19 JMC-2016
Lineage: Eukaryota; Metazoa; Chordata; Amphibia; Anura; Megophryidae
Description: partial 16S ribosomal RNA
Rfam family: Bacterial large subunit ribosomal RNA
Source: RNAcentral
GCCUGCCCAGUGACCAAGUGUUCAACGGCCGCGGUAUUCUGACCGCGCGAAGGUAGCGUAAUCAUUUGUCUUCUAAAUAAAGACUAGUAUGAACGGCCCCACGAAGACUUAACUGUCUCCCCUGUCCAAUCAGUGAAACUGAUCUCCUCGUGCAGAAGCGAGGAUGAACCCAUAAGACGAGAAGACCCUAUGGAGCUUUAAACUUAAUAUCAACCUCCCUUUAGUCCCCUCUUAGGAGCCAACAAAAACACUUAACUUGAUAUAAGUUUUAGGUUGGGGCGACCACGGAGAAAAAAAUAACCUCCUUGAUGAUUUUCAAACCUGGAGCCACAGCUCUAAGUAUUAAGACCCUUAACUCCCAUUGACCCAUUUAAUGAUCAACGAACCAAGUUACCCUAGGGAUAACAGCGCAAUCCAUUUCAAGAGUCCCUAUCGACAAAUGGGUUUACGACCUCGAUGUUGGAUCAGGACAUCCCAGUGGUGCAACCGCUACUAAUGGUUCGUUUGUUCAACGAUUAAAGUCCU